AUUGAACGCUGGCGGAAUGCUUUACACAUGCAAGUCGAACGGCAGCACGGACUUCGGUCUGGUGGCGAGUGGCGAACGGGUGAGUAAUACAUCGGAACGUGCCCAGUCGUGGGGGAUAACGUAGCGAAAGCUACGCUAAUACCGCAUACGAUCUAAGGAUGAAAGCGGGGGAGCGCAAGACCCCGCGCGAUUGGAGCGGCCGAUGGCAGAUUAGGUAGUUGGUAGGGUAAAGGCCUACCAAGCCGACGAUCUGUAGCUGGUCUGAGAGGAUGAUCAGCCACACUGGGACUGAGACACGGCCCAGACUCCUACGGGAGGCAGCAGUGGGGAAUUUUGGACAAUGGGCGCAAGCCUGAUCCAGCCAUUCCGCGUGCAGGAUGAAGGCCUUCGGGUUGUAAACUGCUUUUGUACAGAACGAAAAGGCUCUGGUUAAUACCCGGGGCUCAUGACGGUACUGUAAGAAUAAGCACCGGCUAACUACGUGCCAGCCGCCGCAGUAA
RNAcentral lists this ribosomal RNA (500 nucleotides) under uncultured bacterium. RNAcentral's name for it is "partial 16S ribosomal RNA". It matches the Rfam family "Bacterial small subunit ribosomal RNA", at positions 30 to 523 of the family's 1533-position model. The record is from RNAcentral.